Molecule: long non-coding RNA, 587 nt
Organism: Oreochromis aureus
Lineage: Eukaryota; Metazoa; Chordata; Actinopteri; Cichliformes; Cichlidae
Exons: 3
Source: RefSeq, a predicted model, not a curated record
UGAACUUUUAAUUGUAAACAUUAUGCCUUAAAACCUCUUUAUCAGAAGUAGCAUUGUGGAGCACAGCUUGCAGCUGAUGCUGUAAACUCCAUUAGCCUGCAACAUCGACACGAGGGAAAUCCUCUUCAUUACACCCAGACACUGAACGCACCUCUUCACCUUUGCACGGCGUGUCAUUUGAUCUCCAAAUGCCUCUGCAGAUUAUUGUACUCCAAUACUACUACACGGCACCUUUGCAAACGUUAUGCUCUCAGCAGUAUGUAUUACAUUGCAUUAGAAAGGUUAAACUAUCAACAAACCGAACGUUUUAAUCAUAAAAUACAUCAGGCACAUUCACGCCCAGCUGCAGGCCUCCUGCUCAUUCAAGGCAGUGAAUCUCUAAUGGAGGCAGUUUCAUGCGGGUGUGCAGCUGCUGGUAGACUGAAGUUACAGGUUGAAAGAGACAUCGGUUGCAGAAUAAGAAGCACAUCUUGCCAGUACCACAGUCCCGCUCCCAGAUAAGUGUUGAAACAAUAAUGAAGCAGAGCUCGGAGAGCUUUUCUUGGGAAAAGCACUUUUGGGAUGUGUCCACUUAGUACAGAAAUACC